CACUAGGGCUGGUUGCCCCCCUAUGUUGACGGGCCCCUGCUCUCCACGGGGUCGCCCCUGGGUUCACGAGGAAGGGGGGUGGCAUGGCCUGUCAACCAGGCUGCAGCUCCUGUCUGACCCCACUGGCCCAGCCCUCUCUGUCUCUCUGUUAUUCACCCACCACUUCCUGUCACUGGGCCUCUUUGUCACCCCCUCUGUCUCUGUUUUCUGUGAAGCUAUCUUUCCCACUCGUUCAUCCAAGAAGGGGAAGGGAACUCCCGGGCACUGAUGCCUGCUGCUGUGUACAAGCCUACGGGCCUCCUGAGAAGGUGGAUUCAUAAGGUCCCCUCCCCUCACUGUCUAGUGGGGAUUGGGGAGCGGUUGUCACAAAUGGGAGUGAGAAACCCAGUGACAGAGAAGUGUGUGUGCUGUGCGGGCUCCCAGGAGGAACCUGUAGGAAUUAUUCCAGCCACGCAGAGGGGAAGGGUAAUUGAGGCAGAGGGAACAGCAUGUACAAAGGCUCAGAGGCUUAGAAAACCCUUGUAUGUUUUGCAGAAGAGGUGAGUGGGUGUGGGGCGUGUGUCUGUCUGAGUCUGUGCAGCAGGAGGACGGGAGUGGGUGGGUGAGGACAGAGGAGGGGACACAGAAAGGGACCCUCCUUGCAGCCACUUAGUGCUCAGCCUGGCCUCUCCCGUUGCGGAGCACAGGCUCUGGACGCGCAGGCUCAGCCGCCAUGGCUCACGGGCCCAGCCGCUCCGCGGCAUGUGGGAUCUUCCCGGACCGGGGCACGAACCCGUGUCCCCUGCGUCGGCAGGCGGACUCUCAACCACUGCGCCACCAGGGAAGCCUGCUAAUUACCUUCUUGGGUCGCCCUUUGCUACAUGUCUUGGGCUCAGAAAUGAGGCUGCGGAGACCAGGGGGCUCAGGUCUGGAGGGUGGGGUCGAGCCCAGGAGCACAGCCCAGGACAGCUUGAGACCCAAGGCGGAUUGUGGAGAGCUCAGCUGCACACUGACCCCUGCGAGGGAGGAAUGUGGGCAGCCCUGAACUUGGGCAGCCCCUGAGCCCCUCUGCAGCUUCUCCAGGCCUGCGCUGGGCCUGCUGGUCUGACCUCUGCAUCAGCAGGAGAAAAGGGGAUGAGGGGUUUGGGAAAGCCGGGCAUGGGUAUGUCAGACCCUCUGCUCCCUGGCUGGUAGUGGGAGCUGAGGGCCACUCCCAGUGGGGAAGGCAGGGCCCGGAGGCCUGGCGGACCUGCCCUUCUUCAGAGGGAAGCCUCCCACGCCUUCGGUUUUGCCAGUGAAUGGCCUAGAGUAUCUGUUCCUGGUGGCCUCCAGGUUCUUCCUGAGGCUCCCCCAAACCCACACCGAUGCCGACGCUGUUCUAGAUCCUUCUAAAGCAUCACUCGGCUCAGCUCAAAGCUGGAAACACCAGGGUCUUUGUAAACAGUUAUUGAUACAGCAUGGCUCCGUGGCCAAGUCAGUGACGGCCCCUGAUGAGGCCAGUUCUCCUGAGUUGUAGGUGUAACUGAAACCCACCAGGAGCUUCCACACUGCCUUGGAAGGGGAGCCAGGGGAUACCUGCAUCCCAGAGCAAACCUAAAGUCUCAUAGGAGACCGUAGCACUGAGUGAUGGAGAAUAGGGAAGCUGGCCUCCUCUGGAGACUGGCGUCCUGGCCACCCAGAAGACCUCCAGGGAGGAGGCUCAUAUGCCGAGGAGUCUGUGAAGGGCAGUGGAGUAGCUGGAGGACCGACCAGGACUGCAGCCAGGGCCUGGCCCCCUGGGCUUCCCGCAUCACCGCAUCAGGAGAACAGCGGCACCGGCUCGUUCUUCCUGGAAGAUGCGUGAGUCCGUUCCCUGCUGCCAGGUACCCAGAAACCUCCUCUCCUCCCAGGUGGAGGGCCACCUGCUCAAACGGCCUUGUAGUUUCCUUUGCACCUUAGCCAGGCACGCAGAUGGAUGGAAUGAUGGGAUCAGGGUGCAUCCAGGUCGUGUUGAGUCAGUCCACCCAGCAAGGCACCUGACCCCUGGCACGUGCUCCCAGACACUGGGUGAGGAGGUGCUAAGGCCCUGUGUGUGGAGGUGCUAAGGUCCUGUGUGUACACGGUUCUCAGCAGCUGUCGCCCAGCUCCUGAGAAACACAGGAAAGGAAUUUGUCCUUUUGGGAAAGUCCACUUGUCUCUCUCCAUGUUAGGUCUCAUCUAUAGCUCUUAGCUUCUCCAUAAAGAGGAUACUGUCCCAACUAGCCGCAAAGUAAAAGAGGCUCUGUAUUUAGAAGCGUGACAAAUGCAUCAGGAACCAGACCAGAAUAGGGAAACCCUGACUGUCUACAGAUUCCAACUUUAAUAGUAAGGCUGUGGAGUUACACAAACCUGUGUUAAAACAUGUAAUUCUCAUGGGUUUCACCUCCCCUUGUGGAUCAAUUUGGAAAAACCAAAAUAUAUAAUUUUAAAAAACUAAAACUCAUUCUGAUAAUCCCCGCAAUACGUAAAUGAGAGAGAAGAAUAGACAGGCUUCCAAUCCCUGGUUAGAAAGCUGCUUAAUUACGUGCGCAUCUUAUAAUGAAGUCUCUUACAGCUAAAAUUAGACUUUGAGUGCGUGAAUAUGCGAUAAUGUUUGCAUACCAGAGUGCACUUUUUUCCCUUAAAAGUAGCAGGGGCUACUUGGUUCUUAGGGGGUCCCAAGAGGGGAGAUGGAAGUGCUGGGAUUGAUCUUUGUGGUUGCAAGAAUUCUUGGGGCUGAAGUUUGAUUUCUUUUGGCUGGAAACUUGUUGGAGGUGUUUAACAUGUGAUGCCUCCGAAGUAGUUCAUUAGCGUUUAGGGAGAAAUUGAUUGGUCUGAACCCACGUUGAUGACCACUCAGUAUUUGCCGAGUUGGCCUGAACAAGGUUGUUGGUUGCAUCCUCAAUGUUCAUUCCCCCGUUUCCUUUCCCAGCAGACCCUGAUGUCCGUUGGCAGGGGUGGGUUAUGAUGUGCUGGAGCUGUCUCUACCGUCACUUCUGGGGUGGGACGUGUGACCUAGACUGAGCCCACAGCACCCCCCAUCUCUCUCGCUACAGUGAUGUGUUCAGGUAUGGUCAUAUGAGCUAAGGCAAUGGAACCAGAUGGAAUUUCAAGACUUUGCACUCUGCUGGAUGUGAACGAGGAAGUAGGUAAUCCUGGGUCUUGAUGGUAACUGUCUUGCGAUCCUGGGGCAGGAACCACUCCCAGCAUGAAGCUGAUAACUGAAGGGAGAGUCGGGAGGGAAGGAAACCAGGUCCUUGGUGACACUGUUAAGUACAGGAUCUAGCUUUGCCUGUGAUUGGCCCUGCCCGUGGAUGGUUCUGUUACAUGAGCCAAUAUAGUCCCUUUAUUGUUUAAGUUGGGCUGAGUCUGGUUUCUGUUACUUACAACCCAGAGCUGUGUACAAAGGGCUUGGGUUGAGAGGCCCUGGGGUUCUGACAUUCUCUGUCUCUAUGGCUGAAGUAGAUGAAGAUGGAGGCUCGGACAAGAAUGAGCUGUCCAAUUAGGAAGUUGCUUUUUACGGGAAUGGGGGGGGUGGGUGCGAAAUCCUCAGUAGGAAGCUGUGCUCUGUCAGCCAGGACAAGUAGCAUCUUUAAGUCAGUACCUUAUGAGGUCACCUGCAUAUCCUGAGAAAAUCAUUCCUCUUGGUCGCCCAGCCCACACUAGAAGCUGUCUCCUUUAAUCCUUAACCAAUGCUAUGUGAUUAUCUCCACUUGACAGAUGAGAGGACUGGGAUAGUAAUCGGUGAUGAUUAUAAAACCGUGGUCCUGUUCUAUUUACCGUAACUCCUUUCAUGGAGAAUAUGAUGCCGUGUUGGAAGGAAUGCUUUGACAAGUUACUUGGAUUGAGCGUGAGACCCCCCCCUUUGAGGGACAUGUUCAGGUGUGCGCUCCAGUUGCUGACAAACAGCUGCCCCUUUGAAUCACAUGCCAGCAUCCUGACCACUACAGGUGACAAGAGCCUGGAUGCCUGAGAAGCCAAUCUUCGUCAGGUCUCCUCCAAAAUGGAAAAGAGGAGAAAUAAAAUCCUCUUAAC
Long non-coding RNA from Lagenorhynchus albirostris (white-beaked dolphin), 4011 nucleotides. RefSeq lists it as uncharacterized. Lineage: Eukaryota; Metazoa; Chordata; Mammalia; Artiodactyla; Delphinidae. The record is from RefSeq and is a predicted model, not a curated record. The transcript has 3 exons.